This 3339-nucleotide unclassified non-coding RNA is filed under the name Harpegnathos saltator (Jerdon's jumping ant). Its description in RNAcentral is "serine/threonine-protein kinase D3, transcript variant X3". Lineage: Eukaryota; Metazoa; Arthropoda; Insecta; Hymenoptera; Formicidae. The record is from RNAcentral.
AGUGUGAUUCCCCGUCGAAGAAUGUGAGAAACGGCGUGUACGCGCGUACGGUUCUUCCGUUAACCGAUCUUUCUCCCUCUCUCUCUCUCUCUCUCUCUUCCUCCCCCUCCCUCCCUUCCUCACUCGCUCCCUCCUCUCUUUCUUUCCUUUUCUACGCUUCGCGAAAAUUUGCAACUUGUUCGAAUCCGUCGAAUUAGCCGGAUUACGAAAUUAUUUGUUUUACGCCGCGGAUAAGUCGCGGCGUUAUCGAGGCGAUAUACUCUCCCCGUGGCAAAUUAUCGUGCGUUCCUUCGACCAUCGUUGCGAUCUAUGCCGCUAUUAUUCCGUCGUCUCUCCAGAGAUUUGUCGGCCGACGGAUGAGAUUCCGUCGCACAAGGAAAAAGAGACGCUCUCGCAUCUGGAAUUUGUUGGUGCUACGGUGACACGAUGAGCGACCGAUCAUGUCUACUUGAAACGCAAAGCAUCAUGGAGGGUGUGGAAGUAACAUUUUUAUUCCAGUUUGGUCUGACGCGUGACACAGUCACUGUCGAUAGUAGUACACUGACUCUCAAGGCCCUGAAAGAUCUUGCCUGUGAUUUUAUAAACACCAAAUGUCCGGAGCAUGGCUUAAAUCAUCUUUUUGAGAGAUUACUUCUAUUCAAGCAUGACUACAAUUCUACAAAUGUUCUACAGCUCAUCACAAAUGCUACAGAAGUAGUUGAUGAGACAUUAGUGGAAAUUGUUUUGACUGCACAAGUGCCAAGCGAAUAUGUUCCCAUUCGUCCUCACGCUUUAGCAGUACAUUCCUACAAGGUCCCGACAUUUUGCGAUUUCUGUGGUGAAAUGUUGUUUGGGCUUGUUCGACAAGGUCUCAAGUGUGAAGGCUGUGGCAUGAACUACCAUAAAAGAUGUGUCAUUAAAGUGCCGAACAACUGUUCGCAAGAUGGUAGUCAGCGAAGGCGCAGCUCGGCAAUGUUAAAUGUGCCAAGAUCGCCGAGUCAGGGCUCCACUAGCAGUCUGACCAGUAUCACUGAUGAUAAUCAUAGUUCAAAUAACACGCCUAACACAAGCCAAAAUAAUAGUACAUUGGCAAUACCAAGUAUAAUGGCACCGAAACAAUCUCCCACGCCGUCAUUAGGAGGACGACCAGUCUGGGUUGAGCGAGAGCUCGCGACGCGAAUAAAAAUCCCGCACACAUUCGUAGUACACACGUAUACUCGUCCGACUGUAUGUGGACACUGUAAAAAGUUGCUGAAGGGUAUAUUUAAGCAAGGCCUACAAUGUAAAGAUUGCCAAUACAAUACGCACAAAAAGUGUAUGGAUAAAAUACCAAAAGACUGUACUGGGGAAAAUCUACGAGACAAUAUAGGUGAAUAUCCAGAUAGCGGUGUCGGCAGCGAAUUAGAAGCCAAAUGUGAUAUCAGAAAUGAGGAGGUCGAUGUUGAUAGUGACACGGAAUCGUCGCCGCCGUCGCAAGACAUGUCGCUCACAAACGAUGAGAACAAAAUACCUAACGAUUACGCAGAUCAUGUUCAGAGUAACGAUGACAUUGCUUACGACGAGAAUCAGAAGUCCCGACCGUCAAGUUGUAGUUCCACGCCGAGUAACAACAUUCCAUUGAUGCGGAUAGUACAAAGCGUAAAACACACUAAAAGACGCGGUUCUAAAGUAUUGAAAGAAGGCUGGAUGGUGCACUUUACGCAUCGCGAUCCGAUCAGAAAGAAGCAUUAUUGGCGGCUCGACACAAAGUCUAUAACGCUAUUCCAAAGUGAAACUAGUUCGAAAUAUUACAAGGAGAUACCGUUGGCCGAGAUUACAGCGAUUGAAACCGCUAAGACGCCUCGUUCAUAUCAAGAAGAGUCCACCGAGCCGGAGGAAAACAUCACCGACAUGUCGCAGCUGUAUCAGAUCUUCCCGGACGAAGUGUUAGGUUCCGGCCAAUUCGGCAUAGUCUAUGGCGGCGUUCACCGCAAGACCGGUCGCGCGGUUGCCAUCAAGGUGAUCGACAAGCUACGCUUCCCCACGAAGCAAGAAGCUCAGUUGAAGAACGAGGUGGCGAUCCUGCAGAAUCUGUCGCACAGCGGCGUAGUGAAUCUCGAGCGCAUGUUCGAGACGCCGGAGCGAAUAUUCGUAGUGAUGGAGAAGCUGAAGGGCGACAUGCUGGAAAUGAUCCUGAACUCCGAGCGAGGACGACUUAGCGAGCGAAUCACCAAGUUCCUAAUCACGCAGAUUCUGGUGGCGUUGAAGCACUUGCACAGCAAGAACAUCGUGCAUUGCGACCUGAAGCCGGAGAACGUGCUGUUAAGCAGCGACGCGGAUUUUACACAGGUGAAGCUCUGCGACUUUGGGUUUGCACGGAUAAUCGGCGAGAAGAGUUUCCGCCGCAGCGUCGUCGGCACGCCAGCAUACCUCGCGCCGGAAGUGUUGCGAAACAAAGGCUACAAUCGCUCGUUGGAUAUGUGGAGCGUCGGCGUGAUUAUCUACGUGUCAUUAAGCGGUACGUUCCCAUUCAACGAGGAGGAGGACAUCAAUGAGCAGAUCCAGAAUGCCGCCUUCAUGUAUCCGCCAACACCAUGGAAGGAGAUUUCGAGCGACGCUAUUGACUUGAUCAACAACCUUCUGCAAGUCAAGCAGAGAAAGAGAUACAGCGUGGACAAGAGUCUGCAACAUGUGUGGCUACAAGAUUAUCAAACGUGGUGCGACCUGAGGAAGCUCGAAGCGAAGGUCGGCUAUCGCUAUUUAACUCACGAAAGUGACGACGCACGCUGGAUGGCGUACAGUAGUCAAGAGACAUGACAGAACUGUUCGGCUGCUCUGAACAUCGAGACGCUACCGACUUCUCUGUCGAUUCACAAAGGCUGGGCCCGAUGCGCUCGGGCCACUCUGCGACGGUUUAUUCGUGCCUGACUCCGUAAAAAAGGCCUUUGAUGAUAAAGUUACGUCGCAAAAAAGUGUUUACAAGUGGUACAAAGACUUCAAAGAAGACCGAGAACGAGUUCAAGACGAACAGCGCUCCGGACGACCAUCAACAUCUACCGAUGAAAGCCACGUCAAGGAAAUCAAACUGUUAACAAGGAAUAUUAUUUGAGUGUUAUGCGUCGUUUGCGUGAAGCUAUUCGCCUCAAGAAGCCAGAAUUAUGGGCAGACAAUUCUUGGUUUUUGCACCACGAUAAUGCAUCGUCCCACACUGCAUUGGUUCUUCGAAAACUUUUCGCCAAAAAUUCGACCCAUAUCAUUCCACAACCACCGUAUUCGUUUGAUUUAGCACCGUGCGACUUCUGGCUGUUCAACAAACUCAAAAGACCGCUCCGGGGACACCGUUUCGACUCGAUUGAGGAGAUAAAAGCCGAAUCGAAGAAA